Molecule: ribosomal RNA, 253 nt
Filed under: uncultured bacterium
Lineage: Bacteria
Description: partial 16S ribosomal RNA
Rfam family: Bacterial small subunit ribosomal RNA
Source: RNAcentral
UACGGAGGGAGCUAGCGUUGUUCGGAAUUACUGGGCGUAAAGCGCACGUAGGCGGCUUUGUAAGUUAGAGGUGAAAGCCCGGGGCUCAACCCCGGAAUUGCCUUUAAGACUGCAUCGCUUGAAUCCGGGAGAGGUGAGUGGAAUUCCGAGUGUAGAGGUGAAAUUCGUAGAUAUUCGGAAGAACACCGGUGGCGAAGGCGGCUUCCUGGACCGACACUGACGCUGAGGCGCGAAAGCUAGGGGAGCAAACGGG